CCAGCGCUGUCCAAGAGAGCUUUCUGCCACCGUGGGAAUAUUCUAGAUCUGCGGUGUCCUGUGUGGUAGCCAGCAGCCACGCGUGGCCGUCAAGCCCACGAAAUGUCGCCACCGUGACCGCGAACUAAAUGUUUAAUUUCCUUUACACUCUUAAGAGCACAGGCUCCGGACGCGCAGGCUCAGCGGCCAUGGCUCACAGGCCUAGGCGCUCUGCGGUAUGUGGGAUCUUCCCGGACCGGGACACGAACUCGCGUCCCGUGCAUCGACAGGCGGACUCUCAACCACUGCGCCACCAGGGAAGCCCUGUUUUGUACAGUUUUUUAAAGAGCACAGGCUCCGGACGCGCAGGCUCAGCGGCCAUGGCUCAUGGGCCCAGCAGUUCCACGGCAUGUGGGAUCUUCCCAGACCGGGGCACGAACCCACAUCCCCUGCAUCGGCAGGCGGUCUCUCAACCACUGCACCACCAGGGAAGCCCCUUUCCUGUGGUUUUAAACUGCUGGCCCCCAAAAGGACCCUCCCCACAUCCCCAGCUGGGGGCCCUGCGUAGAGCUGGAGUGGACGCCCCCUCCUUCCCUUCAUGAUUCGUUUGUAGCGCAGUGGCGAUGGAUGAUGAGGAUGGGAGAUGCUUACUAGACGUGAUUUGUGACCCUCAGGCCCUCAACGACUUCUUACAUGGAUCUGAGAAGAGGUGGGCCGGCCCACUGCCCAGCUGACCUUUGACCUUGGGUGGGGGCGGGUCU
Long non-coding RNA from Mesoplodon densirostris (Blainville's beaked whale), 740 nucleotides. RefSeq lists it as uncharacterized. NCBI's taxonomy places the organism in Eukaryota, Metazoa, Chordata, Mammalia, Artiodactyla, Ziphiidae. The transcript is spliced from 7 exons. The record is from RefSeq and is a predicted model, not a curated record.